GACGAACGCUAGCGGCGUGCCUAAGAAAUGCAAGUCGAGCGAGGCCAAGGCUUCGGCCAAAAGCCUAGCGGCGAACGGUCGCGUAACACGUAAGCAACCUGCCCUGAAGUGUGGGAUAGCCCGCCGAAAGGCGGAUUAAUACCUCAUGUGGAUGCUUUCCUGCAUGGGUUGGCAUCUAAAGCAGCAAUGCGCUUCAGGAUGGGCUUGCGGCCUAUCAGCUAGUUGGUGUGGGUAACGGCCCACCAAGGCGACGACGGGUAGCUGGUCUGAGAGGAUGGUCAGCCGGACUGGGACUGAGACACGGCCCAGACUCCUACGGGUGGCUG
This 326-nucleotide ribosomal RNA is filed under the name uncultured Armatimonadota bacterium. Its description in RNAcentral is "bacterial SSU rRNA". It matches the Rfam family "Bacterial small subunit ribosomal RNA", at positions 28 to 351 of the family's 1533-position model. The record is from RNAcentral. Lineage: Bacteria; Bacillati; Armatimonadota.